AAAAGUCGUAACAAGGUCUCCGUUGGUGAACCAGCGGAGGGAUCAUUACAGAGUUGCAAAACUCCCAAACCAUCGUGAACGUUACCUACAUCGUUGCUUCGGCGGGUGGCGGGCUUCGGCCCUGCCCUCGGCCCCUCUCGGGGGCCCGCCGGAGGUACACCAAACUCUUGAAUUUACAUGGCCUCUCUGAGUCUUCUGUACUGAAUAAGUCAAAACUUUCAACAACGGAUCUCUUGGUUCUGGCAUCGAUGAAGAACGCAGCGAAAUGCGAUAAGUAAUGUGAAUUGCAGAAUUCAGUGAAUCAUCGAAUCUUUGAACGCACAUUGCGCCCGCCAGUAUUCUGGCGGGCAUGCCUGUCCGAGCGUCAUUUCAACCAUCAAGCCCCCGGCUUGUGUUGGGGACCUGCGGCACACCCGCAGGCCCUGAAAACCAGUGGCGGGCUCGCUGUCCACACCGAGCGUAGUAGCAUAUCUUUGUCUCGCUCAGGGCGUGCGGCGGGUUCCGGCCGUGAAACCCACCUUCUCGAAGGUACCCAAAGGUUGACCUCGGAUCAGGUAGGAAGACCCGCUGAACUUAAGC
RNAcentral lists this ribosomal RNA (579 nucleotides) under Dichotomopilus funicola. Its description in RNAcentral is "eukaryotic LSU rRNA". The stretch from base 214 to 367 matches the Rfam family "5.8S ribosomal RNA". Lineage: Eukaryota; Fungi; Ascomycota; Sordariomycetes; Sordariales; Chaetomiaceae. The record is from RNAcentral.